Molecule: long non-coding RNA, 1452 nt
Filed under: Dicentrarchus labrax (European seabass)
Lineage: Eukaryota; Metazoa; Chordata; Actinopteri; Moronidae
Description: lncRNA (ENSDLAG00005029614.1)
Source: RNAcentral
AUGUAUAUAUCGCCAUGCAUAUAUUGCCAUGUAUAUAUCGCCAUGCAUAUAUUGCCAUGCAUAUAUUGCCAUGUAUAUAACGCCAUUUAUAUAUCGCCAUGCAUAUAUUGCCAUGCAUGUAUUGCUCUGUAUAUAUUGCCAUGCAUAUAUUGCCAUGCAUGUAUUGCUCUGUAUAUAUCGCCAUGUAUAUAUUGCUCUGUAUAUAUUGCCAUGUAUGUAACGCCAUGUAUAUAUCGCCAUGUAUAUAUUGCUCUGUAUAUAUUGCCAUGUAUAUAUUGCCUUGCAUAUAUCGCCAUGUAUAUAUUGCUAUGUAUAUAUCGCCAUGUAUAUAUUGCUCUGUAUAUAUUGCCAUGUAUAUAUUGCCUUGCAUAUAUCGCCAUGUAUAUAUUGCUAUGUAUAUAUUGCCAUUUAUAUAUCGCCAUGCAUAUAUCGCCAUGUAUAUAUCGGCAUGUAUAUAUCGCCAUGUAUAUAUUGCUCUGUAUAUAUUGCCAUGUAUAUAUCGCCAUGCAUAUAUUGCCAUGUAUAUAUUGCCAUGCAUAUAUUGCCAUGUAUAUAUCGCCAUGUAUAUAUUGCCAUGUAUAUAUCGCCAUGUAUAUAUUGCUCUGUAAAUAUCGCCAUGUAUAUAACACCAUGUAUAUAACGCCAUGUAUAUAUUGCCAUGUAUAUAUUGCCAUGUAUAUAUCGCCAUGCAUAUAUUGCCAUGUAUAUAUCGCCAUGCAUAUAUUGCCAUUUAUAUAUCGCCAUGCAUAUAUUGCCAUGUAUAUAUCGCCAUGUAUAUAUUGCCAUGUAUAUAUCGCCAUGUAUAUAUUGCUCUGUAUAUAUGGCCAUGUAUAUAUCGCCAUGUAUAUAACGCCAUGUAUAGAACGCCAUGUAUAUAUCGCCAUGUAUAUAUUGCUCUGUAUAUAUUGCUCUCUAUGUAACGCCAUGUAUAUAUCGCCAUGUAUAUAUUGCUCUGUAUAUAUUGCCAUGUAUAUAUUGCUCUGUAUAUAUCGCCAUGUAUAUAUCGCCAUGUAUAUAUUGCCAUUUAUAUAUUGCUCUGUAUAUAUUGCCAUGUAUAUAUCGCCAUGUAUAUAUUGCCAUGUAUAUAUCGCCAUGUAUAUAUUGCUCUGUAUAUAUUGCCAUGUAUAUAUUGCCUUGCAUAUAUCGCCAUGUAUAUAUUGCUAUGUAUAUAUUGCCAUUUAUAUAUCGCCAUGCAUAUAUCUCCAUGUAUAUAUCGGCAUGUAUAUAUCGCCAUGUAUAUAUUGCUCUGUAUAUAUUGCCAUGUAUAUAUCGCCAUGUAUAUAUGGCCAUGUAUAUAUUGCCAUUUAUAUAUUGCUCUGUAUAUAUUGCUAUGUAUAUAUUGCCAUGCAUAUAUUGCCAUGUAUAUAUCGCCAUGUAUAUAUUGCCAUGUAUAUAUCGCCAUGUAUAUAUUGCUCUGUAUAUAUCGCCAUGUAUAUAACACCAUGUAUAUAA